This 76-nucleotide transfer RNA is filed under the name Flavobacteriales bacterium. RNAcentral describes it as "tRNA-Lys". It matches the Rfam family "tRNA". From Rfam's summary of the family: Transfer RNA (tRNA) molecules are approximately 80 nucleotides in length. The record is from RNAcentral. Lineage: Bacteria; Pseudomonadati; Bacteroidota; Flavobacteriia; Flavobacteriales.
GGGACCAUAGCUCAACUGGCAGAGCAAAAGGCUUUUAACCUUUAGGUUCUGGGUUCGAUUCCCAGUGGUCCCACCA